This 108-nucleotide ribosomal RNA is filed under the name Sinocyclocheilus rhinocerous. Lineage: Eukaryota; Metazoa; Chordata; Actinopteri; Cypriniformes; Cyprinidae. The record is from RNAcentral.
GCUUACGGCCAUACCACCCGAUCUCGUCUGAUCUCGGAAUCUAAGCAGGGUCGGGCCUGGUUAGUACUUGGAUGGGAGACCACCUGGGAAUACGAGGUGCUGUAAGCU